UCCUGGCUCAGAACGAACGCUGCGGCAGCUUAACACAUGCANUCGACACACUNUCGAGUGAGUGGCAACGGGAGUACGCGUGGACGACUUUCGGUUCGGAUACCCAGGAAACUUGGGUAAUACCGAAUGCGCCCUUACGGGGAAAGAUUUAUCGCCGAAAGAUCGGCCCGCGUCGGAUUAGCUAGUUGGGUGGGGUAAUGGCUUACCAAGGCGACGAUCCGUAGCUGGUCUGAGAGGAUGAUCAGCCACACUGGGACUGAGACACGGCCCAGACUCNUACGGGAGGCAGCAGUGGGGAAUAUUGGACAAUGGGCGAAAGCCUGGAUCCAGCCAUGCCGCGUGAGUGAAGAAGGCCUUAGGGUUGUAAAGCUCUUUCAGCGGGGACGAUAAUGACGGUACCCGCAGAAGAAGCCCCGGCUAACUUCGUGCCAGCAGCCGCGGUAAUACGAAGGGGGCUAGCGUUGUUCGGAAUUACUGGGCGUAAAGCGCGCGUAGGCGGACAAUUAAGUCAGAGGUGAAAUCCCAGGGCUCAACCCUGGAACUGCCUUUGAUACUGAAUGUCUGGAGUUCGGGAGAGGCGAGUGGAAUUCCGAGUGUAGAGGUGAAAUUCGUAGAUAUUCGGAGGGAACACCAGAAGCGAAGGCGGCUCACUGGCCCGAUACUGACGCUGAGGCGCGAAAGCGUGGGGAGCAAACAGGAUUAGAUACCCUGGUAGUC
This 717-nucleotide ribosomal RNA is filed under the name uncultured bacterium. RNAcentral describes it as "bacterial SSU rRNA". It matches the Rfam family "Bacterial small subunit ribosomal RNA", at positions 17 to 795 of the family's 1533-position model. The record is from RNAcentral.